Molecule: ribosomal RNA, 600 nt
Filed under: uncultured bacterium
Lineage: Bacteria
Description: bacterial SSU rRNA
Rfam family: Bacterial small subunit ribosomal RNA
Source: RNAcentral
GCGAAAAGUANGCACCUCCCAAUGGUAGAAAUCCUCGAAGAGGAGAUAUACACGUACAUAAUGAAGUGGCAUCACUUAUAUAUAGCUCCGGCGGUUUUGGAUGGGCGUGCGCCUGAUUAGUAUUUGCGGGUAACGGCCACAGCUGCGAUCAGUACUGGUGUGAGAGCACGACCAGUCACACGGCCACUGAAACACGGGCCGAUCUACGGGAGGCAGCAGUAAAGGAAUAUUGGUCAAUGGACGAAAGUCUGAACCAGCCAUGCCGCGUGAAGGAUGAAGGCCCCCUGGGUUGUAAACUUCUUUUAUCUGGGACGAAAAAAGGGCUUUCUAGCUCACUUGACGGUACCAGAGGAAUAAGCACCGGCUAACUCCGUGCCAGCAGCCGCGGUAAUACGGAGGGUGCAAGCGUUAUCCGGAUUUACUGGGUUUAAAGGGUGCGUAGUGGGUGGUAAGUCAUGGUGAAAUCUUCGAGCUUAACUCGGAAACUGCCAUUGAUACUAUCAAUCUUGAAUUAUCUGGAGGUAAAGCGGAAUAUGUCAUGUAGCGGUGAAAUGCUUAGAUAUGACAUAGAACACCCAUUGCGAAGGCAGUUACUACGGA